Molecule: ribosomal RNA, 573 nt
Filed under: uncultured bacterium
Lineage: Bacteria
Description: partial 16S ribosomal RNA
Rfam family: Bacterial small subunit ribosomal RNA
Source: RNAcentral
UGAGGAAUAUUGGUCAAUGGUCGCAAGACUGAACCAGCCAUGCCGCGUGCAGGAAGACGGUCCUAUGGAUUGUAAACUGCUUUUAUACAGGAAGAAACCCUCCCACGUGUGGGAGCUUGACGGUACUGUAGGAAUAAGGAUCGGCUAACUCCGUGCCAGCAGCCGCGGUAAUACGGAGGAUCCAAGCGUUAUCCGGAAUCAUUGGGUUUAAAGGGUCCGUAGGCGGUCUUAUAAGUCAGUGGUGAAAGCCCAUCGCUCAACGACGGAACUGCCAUUGAUACUGUAAGACUUGAAUGCUUAGGAAGUAACUAGAAUAUGUAGUGUAGCGGUGAAAUGCUUAGAUAUUACAUGGAAUACCAAUUGCGAAGGCAGGUUACUACUAAGUGAUUGACGCUGAUGGACGAAAGCGUGGGGAGCGAACAGGAUUAGAUACCCUGGUAGUCCACGCCGUAAACGAUGGAUACUAGCUGUUCGGCGCAAGUUGAGUGGCUAAGCGAAAGUGAUAAGUAUCCCACCUGGGGAGUACGCACGCAAGUGUGAAACUCAAAUGAAUUGACGGGGUCAUAGCUGUUU